GGCCAGACUCCUACGGGAGGCAGCAGUGGGGAAUAUUGCACAAUGGGGGAAACCCUGAUGCAGCGACGCCGCGUGAGUGAAGAAAUAAUUCGUUAUGUAAAGCUCUAUCAGCAGGGAAGAAAAUGACGGUACCUGAGUAAGAAGCCCCGGCUAACUACGUGCCAGCAGCCGCGGUAAUACGUAGGGGGCAAGCGUUAUCCGGAUUUACUGGGUGUAAAGGGGGCGCAGACGGCGAUGCAAGCCAGGAGUGAAAGCCCGGGGCCCAACCCCGGGACUGCUCUUGGAACUGCGUGGCUGGAGUGCAGGAGGGGCAGGCGGAAUUCCUGGUGUAGCGGUGAAAUGCGUAGAUAUCAGGAGGAACACCGGUGGCGAAGGCGGCCUGCUGGACUGCAACUGACGUUGAGGCCCGAAAGCGUGGGGAGCAAACAGGAUUAGAUACCCUAGUAA
This 447-nucleotide ribosomal RNA is filed under the name uncultured bacterium. Its description in RNAcentral is "bacterial SSU rRNA". It matches the Rfam family "Bacterial small subunit ribosomal RNA", at positions 329 to 793 of the family's 1533-position model. The record is from RNAcentral.